UUGGCGGCCCCAAGAGGAGCCCCUGCUGGGCAGGGUUAGGAUCCACCUCUUCCAAGCUGUCGGUGCUGAGCCAUUCCCGCUCCACGGUACCGCAGCUGGGGCUCCCGGGAGAAAAGCGAGGGCUUCAUGGGCAAAUACGUCUGGGAAGCACCAAGGGGGUCGACAGAUACUGGCCCUGGGGGACCCCUCAGGACGCUGACAGCGCCACCUGCACCGUACACCUCCCAGGGACCGCAGAGUCAGCAGGACUCCCCUAGCAUAAGCGGCCAGGGCAACUGGGUGCAGCGGACGUUCACGACCACCAGUCCGACCAGACACAAUAAGGGACCGCCUCUCCCAGAAAGGGACUGCGGCAGCCUGAGACCGUGGCCAAGCCCAGGUGAAUCCAGGAAGCCGGACCAUAAGCAGCCCAGAGGUAAGGGUAGACUCUGCGCAAUCUGAAACUGAGUCCCAGACCCACGCUCAUGGAUGGAGCCAUUACUGCAAACGGUAUGUCUCUGGUGCCUCAGUUUCCCCACCUCUACAGUGAGAAUGAUAACCACGGAGUUUUAUUCUCAGUACUGAGACUGAACCAGGGCCGUCACAUGGAGUGACAUUCCUGGCCAUGUUUCUUUCUUUUUUACGAAAUAGGACCUCUCUAAACUGCUACGUUGUGCAGGCUGGACUCGGACUCAGGAUCCUCCUGCCUGCGGCUCCCAGGGCGCCGGGAUCACUGGUGUGGCCGCCACGCCGGCUCCACCGGCGAGUGUCACACACCACAGCGCGUGUGAGGUGCCAGGUGGGGACCGGACACGGUGGCCGCGGUCGCUGCUGCUACGCUCCCAGCCCCGCUGUCAUCUCUGCCCAGCGACAGCUCCCCGGUGAGCCAAGGGCCUGAGGUAACUCCUGUCAGACAGAGCAUGGGGUUCCCCGUGGAAGCGGGAGGCACCUCCCCAAGCCCAGAUCUGGAAACCUCAGGGGAGGAAGCUGAGAGACCCGGCCCAGGCUCCUUUCUCCUGCAGGUACUGGCUGUGCCUGUCUGAGCUUCAGUGCCUGUGUUUGUCCAGCGGGGGCACCGCUAUUGACCUCUGCCCAGGACGUCACCAAUAACAAGGCGGCUGUCCCACAGUGGAAGACCAUCUUUGGUCCAGCGGAUGUCAGGGUCUGGAUCACCACGGACCACGCAGUCUAGCUGGAUGCUGCCCCCUACAGGCUCCACCAGGGGGCAAAUGACUCGUCCGGGCAGCAGAACGACGGAGCGACCCAGUGACCACCAAGCCUGGCCGGCAGCCAAACCCAGCCACCCGCUCCAUGGCCUCCGACUCAGCACUGGGCACCCAGAUGGGAUCUCAGGCUUCGGUUCCCAUCACCAGGAACUGUGCGGAGCCCGGUUACGCGAGGGACAGGCCACGGGAUCCAGGAGGGCUUCCUGGAGGAGGGUCCAGCCCGCCUC
This is a long non-coding RNA of Chinchilla lanigera (long-tailed chinchilla), 1432 nucleotides long. RefSeq lists it as uncharacterized. The record is from RefSeq and is a predicted model, not a curated record. Lineage: Eukaryota; Metazoa; Chordata; Mammalia; Rodentia; Chinchillidae. The transcript is spliced from 4 exons.